Molecule: ribosomal RNA, 451 nt
Filed under: uncultured bacterium
Lineage: Bacteria
Description: partial 16S ribosomal RNA
Rfam family: Bacterial small subunit ribosomal RNA
Source: RNAcentral
GUGGGGAAUAUUGGACAAUGGGGGGAACCCUGAUCCAGCCAUGCCGCGUGUGUGAAGAAGGCCUUUUGGUUGUAAAGCACUUUAAGCGAGGAGGAGGCUACCGAGAUUAAUACUCUUGGAUAGUGGACGUUACUCGCAGAAUAAGCACCGGCUAACUCUGUGCCAGCAGCCGCGGUAAUACAGAGGGUGCAAGCGUUAAUCGGAUUUACUGGGCGUAAAGCGUGCGUAGGUGGCCAAUUAAGUCAAAUGUGAAAUCUCCGAGCUUAACUUGGGAAUUGCAUUCGAUACUGGUUGGCUAGAGUAUGGGAGAGGAUGGUAGAAUUCCAGGUGUAGCGGUGAAAUGCGUAGAGAUCUGGAGGAAUACCGAUGGCGAAGGCAGCCAUCUGGCCUAAUACUGACACUGAGGUGCGAAAGCAUGGGGAGCAAACAGGAUUAGAUACCCUUGUAGUCC